RNAcentral lists this ribosomal RNA (459 nucleotides) under uncultured bacterium. RNAcentral's name for it is "partial 16S ribosomal RNA". It matches the Rfam family "Bacterial small subunit ribosomal RNA", at positions 338 to 795 of the family's 1533-position model. The record is from RNAcentral.
CCUACGGGAGGCAGCAGUGAGGAAUAUUGGUCAAUGGGCGCAGGCCUGAACCAGCCAAGUCGCGUGAGGGAAGACUGCCCUAUGGGUUGUAAACCUCUUUUAUAAGGGAAGAAUAAUGACUACGUGUAGUCUGAUGCCCGUACCUUAUGAAUAAGCAUCGGUUAACUCCGUGCCAGCAGCCGCGGUAAUCCGGAGGAUGCGAGCGUUAUCCGGAUUUAUUGGGUUUAAAGGGUGCGUAGGGGGUAUUUUAAGUUAGUGGUAAAACGUCGGGGCUUCACCUUGAUUGGCCAUUAAAACUGGAGUACUAGAGUACAGACGAGGUAGGCGGAAUAAGUUAAGUAGCGGUGAAAUGCUUAGAUAUAACUUAGAACCCCGAUAGCGAAGGCAGCUUACCGGACUGUUACUGACGCUGAGGCACGAGAGCGUGGGUAGCGAACAGGAUUAGAUACCCUUGUAGUC